GAUGAACGCUGGCGGCGUGCUUAACACAUGCAAGUCGAGCGAAGCACCUUGACGGAUUUCUUCGGAUUGAAGCCUUGGUGACUGAGCGGCGGACGGGUGAGUAACGCGUGGGUAACCUGCCUCAUACAGGGGGAUAACAGUUGGAAACGGCUGCUAAUACCGCAUAAGCGCACAGUACCGCAUGGUACGGUGUGAAAAACUCCGGUGGUAUGAGAUGGACCCGCGUCUGAUUAGGUAGUUGGUGGGGUAACGGCCUACCAAGCCGACGAUCAGUAGCCGCCCUGAGAGGGUGACCGGCCACAUUGGGACUGAGACACGGCCCAAACUCGUACGGGAGGCAGCAGUGGGGAAUAUUGCACAAUGGGGGAAACCCUGAUGCAGCGACGCCGCGUGAGCGAUGAAGUAUUUCGGUAUGUAAAGCUCUAUCAGCAGGGAAGAAAAUGACGGUACCUGACUAAGAAGCCCCGGCUAACUACGUGCCAGCCGCCGCCGUAA
This 495-nucleotide ribosomal RNA is filed under the name uncultured bacterium. Its description in RNAcentral is "partial 16S ribosomal RNA". It matches the Rfam family "Bacterial small subunit ribosomal RNA", at positions 28 to 523 of the family's 1533-position model. The record is from RNAcentral.